This 411-nucleotide ribosomal RNA is filed under the name Apocephalus roeschardae. RNAcentral describes it as "partial 16S ribosomal RNA". It matches the Rfam family "Bacterial large subunit ribosomal RNA", at positions 1802 to 2532 of the family's 2925-position model. The record is from RNAcentral. Lineage: Eukaryota; Metazoa; Arthropoda; Insecta; Diptera; Phoridae.
GUUUAUCAAAAACAUGUCUUUUAGAAUUUAAUUUAAAGUCUAGCCUGCCCACUGAAUAAUUUUAAAUGGCCGCAGUAUCCUAACUGUGCAAAGGUAGCAUAAUCAUUAGUCUUUUAAUUGAAGGCUGGAAUGAAUGGUUGGAUGAAAUAUUAACUGUUUCAUGAAAAUUUAUAAUAGAAUUUUAUUUUUUAGUUAAAAAGCUAAAAUUUUAUUAAAAGACGAGAAGACCCUAUAAAUCUUUAUAUUUUAUUGGGGUGAUAUUAAAAUUUAAUAAACUUUUAAUUUAUAUUAAACAUAAAUUAAUGAAUUAUUGAUCCAUAAAUAAUGAUUAAAAAAUUAAGUUACUUUAGGGAUAACAGCGUAAUUUUUUUAGAGAGUUCAUAUUGAUAAAAAAGAUUGCGACCUCGAUGU